This 91-nucleotide transfer RNA is filed under the name compost metagenome. RNAcentral describes it as "tRNA-Cys". The record is from RNAcentral.
UUGUGCAUAAGCUGGGUAUUGCAGGUUCAGCGCCUGCAGGGCGUUUUCGAUCAGGUCGAGCCGGCGCUGGUGCAAGGCCACAAUGCGCUGG